UCUGCAAUGUCGAAUCAAACAUACCUGUACUGAUGCUUUCAUUGGUGAUUGCCAAUUCCAUAUUGAAAUCUCCUACGCAAAUACAUAAGGGAUAUGAACCUAAGUUUUUAUUCUCCUUUUUCGUUUCAAUAUAUACACGAACCCUCAUAUCAUUCCUAAUCUCCAAUGGAAGACAAUUCUCGUUCACAAUGUAUUUUAUUUCUAUAAUUUUAUCCGAUGUAUCAAUCGAUAAUUGUUCUGCAAUUGUAGAAAUGAGAAUUCCAUAGCUUGUAUUAUCAUCUACAAAAAUGGAAUCAACUUCGAAAUCUCUAAA
Molecule: long non-coding RNA, 313 nt
Filed under: Nicotiana benthamiana
Lineage: Eukaryota; Viridiplantae; Streptophyta; Magnoliopsida; Solanales; Solanaceae
Description: long non-coding RNA (NBEN_LNC022337)
Source: RNAcentral